This 63-nucleotide transfer RNA is filed under the name Cavia porcellus (domestic guinea pig). It matches the Rfam family "tRNA", at positions 1 to 62 of the family's 71-position model. Rfam says of the family: Transfer RNA (tRNA) molecules are approximately 80 nucleotides in length. Their secondary structure includes four short double-helical elements and three loops (D, anti-codon, and T loops). Lineage: Eukaryota; Metazoa; Chordata; Mammalia; Rodentia; Caviidae. The record is from Rfam by way of RNAcentral.
GGGGAUUUAGCUCAGCGGCAUAAGCGCCUGCCUUGCAAGCAGCAGUCGUGAGUUCAAUCCCCA